UGGGGAAUAUUGCACAAUGGGCGCAAGCCUGAUGCAGCCAUGCCGCGUGUGUGAAGAAGGCCUUCGGGUUGUAAAGCACUUUCAGCGAGGAGGAAGGUGGUGAGCUUAAUACGCUCAUCAAUUGACGUUACUCGCAGAAGAAGCACCGGCUAACUCCGUGCCAGCAGCCGCGGUAAUACGGAGGGUGCAAGCGUUAAUCGGAAUUACUGGGCGUAAAGCGCACGCAGGCGGUUUGUUAAGUCAGAUGUGAAAUCCCCGGGCUCAACCUGGGAACUGCAUUUGAAACUGGCAAGCUAGAGUCUCGUAGAGGGGGGUAGAAUUCCAGGUGUAGCGGUGAAAUGCGUAGAGAUCUGGAGGAAUACCGGUGGCGAAGGCGGCCCCCUGGACGAAGACUGACGCUCAGGUGCGAAAGCGUGGGGCAGCAAACAGGAUUAGAUACCCUGGUAGUCCACGCUGUAAACGAUGUCGAUUUUGGAGGUUGUGCCCUUGAGGCGUGGCUUCCGGAGCUAACGCGUUAAAUCGACCGCCUGGGGAGUACGGCC
Molecule: ribosomal RNA, 542 nt
Filed under: uncultured bacterium
Lineage: Bacteria
Description: partial 16S ribosomal RNA
Rfam family: Bacterial small subunit ribosomal RNA
Source: RNAcentral